RNAcentral lists this ribosomal RNA (237 nucleotides) under uncultured bacterium. RNAcentral describes it as "partial 16S ribosomal RNA". It matches the Rfam family "Bacterial small subunit ribosomal RNA", at positions 118 to 347 of the family's 1533-position model. The record is from RNAcentral.
UGAGGAACAUGACCUUCGGCGGGGGAGUAGCCGGCCCAACGGCCGGGUAAUACCGCGUACGACCUUUUGGGGACAUCCCCGAUUGGUGAAAGCAGCAAUGCGCCGAUGGAGUGCCUCGCGGCCUAUCAGCUAGUUGGUGAGGUAACGGCUCACCAAGGCGACGACGGGUAGCUGGUCUGAGAGGAUGGCCAGCCACAUUGGGACUGAGACACGGCCCAGACUCCUACGGGAGNAGCG